CACAUGACUCUCGGCAACGGAUAUCUUGGCUCUCACAUCGAUGAAGAACGUAGCAAAAUGCGAUACCUGGUGUGAAUUGCAGAAUCCCGUGAACCAUCGAGUUUUUGAACGCAAGUUGCGCCCGAUGCCUUUUGGUUGAGGGCACGUCUGCCUGGGCGUCACGC
Molecule: ribosomal RNA, 164 nt
Filed under: Muhlenbergia eludens
Lineage: Eukaryota; Viridiplantae; Streptophyta; Magnoliopsida; Poales; Poaceae
Also listed under: 1 other name
Description: 5.8S ribosomal RNA
Rfam family: 5.8S ribosomal RNA
About the family: 5.8S ribosomal RNA (5.8S rRNA) is a component of the large subunit of the eukaryotic ribosome. It is transcribed by RNA polymerase I as part of the 45S precursor that also contains 18S and 28S rRNA. Functionally, it is thought that 5.8S rRNA may be involved in ribosome translocation.
Source: RNAcentral